This is a small nucleolar RNA of Myotis lucifugus (little brown bat), 123 nucleotides long. Ensembl annotates it as small nucleolar RNA SNORA25. The record is from Ensembl. NCBI's taxonomy places the organism in Eukaryota, Metazoa, Chordata, Mammalia, Chiroptera, Vespertilionidae.
AGGUCAUUUCAGAGAGAGCUUAUGAGACCAAAACCAGGAGCUCUUGACACUGUGACCUACGAUUUAAGUUCUCCAUAGGAUGUAACAGACAAUAGUGCUAUGUUCUCCUGAGGAGAUGUAAGA